Molecule: transfer RNA, 73 nt
Filed under: Ailuropoda melanoleuca (giant panda)
Lineage: Eukaryota; Metazoa; Chordata; Mammalia; Carnivora; Ursidae
Rfam family: tRNA
About the family: Transfer RNA (tRNA) molecules are approximately 80 nucleotides in length. Their secondary structure includes four short double-helical elements and three loops (D, anti-codon, and T loops).
Source: Rfam by way of RNAcentral
ACCUGGCUGGCUCAGUCAAUAGAGCCUGAGACUUUUAAUCUCAGGGUUGUGGAUUUGAGCCCCACACUGGGUG